ACUACGGGUGGCAGCAGUGAGGAAUAUUGGUCAAUGGGCGUAAGCCUGAACCAGCCAAGUCGCGUGAGGGAUGAAGGUUCUAUGGAUCGUAAACCUCUUUUAUAAGGGAAUAAAGUGCGGGACGUGUCCCGUUUUGUAUGUACCUUAUGAAUAAGGAUCGGCUAACUCCGUGCCAGCAGCCGCGGUAAUACGGAGGAUCCGAGCGUUAUCCGGAUUUAUUGGGUUUAAAGGGUGCGUAGGCGGCCUUUUAAGUCAGCGGUGAAAGUCUGUGGCUCAACCAUAGAAUUGCAGGUGAAACUGGGAGGCUUGAGUAUGUUUGAGGCAGGCGGAAGGCGUGGUGUAGCGGUGAAAUGCUUAGAUAUCACGAAGAACCCCGAUUGCGAAGGCAGCCUACCAAGCCAUGACUGACGCUGAUGCACGAAAGCGUGGGGAUCAAACAGGAUUAGAUACCCUUGUAGUC
RNAcentral lists this ribosomal RNA (460 nucleotides) under uncultured bacterium. Its description in RNAcentral is "partial 16S ribosomal RNA". It matches the Rfam family "Bacterial small subunit ribosomal RNA", at positions 338 to 795 of the family's 1533-position model. The record is from RNAcentral.